AGCUCCAAUAACACAUAUUGAAGUUGUCGCGGCUAAAACAAAACGUAGUUGGAUUACUGCUGAAGACGACUGGUCUGCCCUCUGGGUGAGUAUCCGGCUCGGCCUCGGCAUUAUCUUGGAGAACGCAACUGCACUUGACUGUGUGGUGUAGUAUGCAUGACUUUCACAUCUUGAGGAAUUUCGAAUGCCUCGAACAGGCGCACGCCUUGAACACAUUAGCAUGGAAGAGUAAGAUCGGACCUUGGUUCUAUAUUGUUGGUUUCUAGAAGUGGGGUGAUGAUUAAUAUGGAUAGUUGGGGGCAUUCGUAGUUAACUGUCAGAGGGGAAACUCUUGGAUUUGUUAAGAGGUCAACCGCGAAAGAAUUUGCCAAGGAUGUCCA
RNAcentral lists this ribosomal RNA (380 nucleotides) under uncultured eukaryote. RNAcentral describes it as "SSU rRNA". It matches the Rfam family "Eukaryotic small subunit ribosomal RNA", at positions 587 to 971 of the family's 1831-position model. The record is from RNAcentral.